GUUAUGAUUACUCAGUCAGUAGAGCAUCAGACUUUUAAUCUGAGGGUCCAGGGUUCAAGUCCCUGUUUGGGCG
Molecule: transfer RNA, 73 nt
Filed under: Bos taurus (domestic cattle)
Lineage: Eukaryota; Metazoa; Chordata; Mammalia; Artiodactyla; Bovidae
Also listed under: 5 other names
Rfam family: tRNA
About the family: Transfer RNA (tRNA) molecules are approximately 80 nucleotides in length. Their secondary structure includes four short double-helical elements and three loops (D, anti-codon, and T loops).
Source: Rfam by way of RNAcentral